AACCCAAACCAAAAAAAAAUUCGAAAGGCCUAAGUUUUUCUACAUUGUAAGAAGUUUCUCAUGAAAAAGUAAACUUUGUUUAGUUCACUAUAAAAACCAAAAAAAUUUCAACAUUCCCCAUCACAUCGAAUCUUGCGGCAUAUGUAUAGAGCAUUAAAUCUAUCCCUAAUACUAAAGAGGCAAAAUUUCAGCCUUUUUUUCAUCUAGAUUUUAUUUUCGUCUGGCCUUCCUAGCUUCUUAUAUGGACCGGUGGAGAUUGGUUAAAAAUUUGCUUUCGAAUCCAACAAGAAUCGGAGCAAACAGAGAUGAAAAAAACUAGAGUUCUGGUGCAGUACGUGGAUCUUUUUCGUGUUCCAUUAGAAUUCAGAAUCAAAAAUAGAAAGCGAGAUCAGAGAACUAAAUCAAGACCAUCACGAUUUAAAUCGAGACCAAAAUACUCCUUCCCAAACCAGAUGUGGAUUCCAGAUCCAGACUGAGUCCAAAACAAAUUCACAUACCAAAUCAAGUCCUUGGCCUACCCAUGUCCGAAUACGAUACAAACACGAAACAUGUGAGAACAAAAGAAAUUCUAGAAAAAGUGCAUCCAGCUGCUUUCAAUAACAUAAAAAAGAAUUAUACAAUCAGUUAUAGAUCACAGGUCCAUUUCACAAAUCAUAGCACACAAUCACGAGCCCCUAUACAGAAUCUCAGAUCUCACAAAUAGCAAAUCAAUAUGCACCUAAUUCCUACCUUCGUGACUACUUCAGACCGUGAAAAGAGAGAGAUGUUGCCUUCCUAGCCUCCAGACUGCAGACCGAGCAAGGAGUUUGCGCGCGACUGCAGGACUGGAGGAUUGGGGCUAACAAAUACGCUCAAGCAUUUGCUAUUUUGGGAGCGGUAGAGAGGGAGUGCAGAGAUGCAGGAGGGAGUCACGCACAGGACCAGGGAGCAGGGGGCAAGAAGAUGUGAGAUGGAGUGGGCGGCGGGUGUGAGGCGGAGAUGAAGACUGAAGGAGCGACGGAGCUAUUAGGUUUUCCUAUUUAUAUGUGGCAUUCUUACAUGGGCUUUGCUGGGCGGAUG
Molecule: long non-coding RNA, 1059 nt
Filed under: Sorghum bicolor (sorghum)
Lineage: Eukaryota; Viridiplantae; Streptophyta; Magnoliopsida; Poales; Poaceae
Description: long non-coding RNA (SBIC_LNC001447)
Source: RNAcentral